Molecule: non-coding RNA, 3029 nt
Organism: Procambarus clarkii (red swamp crayfish)
Lineage: Eukaryota; Metazoa; Arthropoda; Malacostraca; Decapoda; Cambaridae
Source: RefSeq, a predicted model, not a curated record
CUCGUUCACCACCGCCACUGGUUCUUCACUUCAUCACAGUAGUGGUUCGUCGCCACUACACACUACCAGUGUCUCUAGUAGUUCCCUGGCACUACGCCACAACCGUACCAGUAGUGGCUCUUCAUCGCUACACAAUACCAAUACCAGCAAUGGUUCUCUGGCACUGCACCACAACAUUAUAAGUAGUGGCUCAUAUGAACUACACAACGGUGGCUCCUCGUUACUACACAACAAUAUCACCAAUACUGGUUCUCUCGUGCAAGACAACGGCAACAGUGAUCCUUUGCAACACCACCACCACAACACUCACUGGCAGCGAGUCCCCGGCACUACAUAGCAGUACUGGUGGCCACUCUCCACUCUACCACGCCAUCCAUCACUUGACCGCACUAUCAUCAACCCAUCUCUCAAAAUCUUCCAAGUCGGUGACAGCACACCGGAAGCUGGGGUCCAGUAACGUCUUGAAGCCUCACCUACAUGGGUGCCACUAAUCUAUCCUAGACAGAGUGGGUGCGGUGCGGCCAGUGCAACAAGGUGCUUGGUGGGCGGCGCAGCCUCAAGCAACACAUAGCUUGCGUUCACGCCCCCGCUUCCCCUGGCUACCAGUGCAAAUAUUGCCAUAAAGUCUAUAAAAACAAGCACACGCUGUUCAGUCACGUGAGCCAGUACCAUAGAUACACCAACUUGGCCCCGAGCGCCGCCCAGUAGUGAGUGGUGAGCCUUGAUUGUCUCCCCACACACACAUACACGCUGCUGGCACCCUCUACACCCGCUGCCACUCUAGUCACGCUCCCCACCCACCAUCCCCUACUACUACUACUCCCUCACUAGACGCCAUACACACACUCGCUCAUCCACAGCACACACACACUCAUAUAUACACUUCCAGAUUAUCUCUCGGGUAUUACGCUCCACAUUCACUUGCCGUAUGGUUUGCCGAGCAGGACCUUGAAAUGCCCCUCUUUUGUAAGUGAAGACCGUGUGCCAAAUUGUGAUCUUGUUAUGUAUUCUUGGCAGUGAUAAUAAAAGAGAUCAUGUCAUCCAGGCCUUUCCUUUACGCCUUCUAGUAAAACUAUCUUUCAUGAAAUGUCAUUUGGCUUUAUUUUGGUACUUCUGAAAUGUAGGCGUUUGUGAAGUAGUGUGUUGUGUUUGGUCAGUGGUGGAGGCUGGAGGUGGUACUUGUAGGUGUUGGGUGGUCCGUGUUGGUGGAGGCUGGCUCAGGUGUCACUGGUGGCCUUGUCGGUGGUUGUCGGAGCGGUGGAGGUGUAGUAGGGUGUAGGAGCGGUAGGGUUGGCAGGGUCCGCACUCACCGCCGGUGUUGUAUCGUUGCAGGCACGCCGGCCCCCAUGCGCAGCCCGCUCGUGUACAUACCAGUGCUGUGCCCCUUCUGUGGCAAGAAAAUAAGUAACAAGUACAAUCUCAAGACCCACGUUCGUAAUAUGCAUCCGGAAACCCUGGAAGCUUUGUCGCAUAUGGAGGAGAUGUAGGCGGGUGCCGAGGGCCAGACUGGUGGCCCGCUGGUGGCCCGCUGGUGCCCCGCCGGUGGCCGUGCCUGGCCGGACGAGGCCUCGCUCGUGUUGGUCAGCUGGCCCUACACACCACCUGCGGCCACUACCACGUGUCCACUCCUCCAGGCUCUCUCACUACCCCAUGGGUCGCCUCGCAGAUGGCUCAUACACCCAUCAAAUAAGAUUUAGUAGUGUAGAUUAUUUAUUUAAGAGUAUUGUUAAAUGAUCAAAACUUUUCUUAAACUAGUUAAAAAGAGUAGCAUAAGUAGUUAGCUUUGUUGCAGUUUGGUGCCUGGUGUGUUUGUGUUGUCUGUUGAUGACGUAAGUACUGGGUGUAUUCAAGAAGUAAAGGAAGAGCGCUUACGGCGUGUUGUCUUUGUUGCAGGGGCGCGGGCGUGGGUGGUGGGCGGGGGUGGGGCGGUGUCGUGCCCGGUGUGUGGGAAACGGCUCAGCAACAAGUACAACCUGCGUAUCCACGUGAGAGACAAACACGAGACGCAGGAAGGUUCCCGCCCCACUUGUGCCACCUGCUGCCGUACCUUCAAGAACGCCAACAGCCUCCGAGUGCACGCCAUCAAGCAGCACGGCCUCGUCAGCAACAGGCGCAGACUCAGAGCCAUCUACCACAACAGUGUGGCGGGCCUUCCUGCACCCUCGUCCACCACCUCACCUGUCUCCCAUACUCUCUCUCACCUCUCCACCACCGCCUCCAUCACACCCCACUACAUAGACCACUACUCUCAUGUAGCCAACACUCACGCCAUGGGCCACACCCACCAUGGAGACCGCCCACGCCUCGGUCUCUGUGAGGAUGGCCAGGAGGCCUACACCUCCUUGAUUGGCUCCUCUCACACUACAUCAGGGAUGGGCGCCCCUCACACCUCCCCAGGGGAUGGCUCACACCCGUCCCCUGCGGUGGGUUCUUCACAAGGAGUGGGUCAUCCUGAAGAGGCCAGCCCUCGCCUCACCUCGCCUACAUUCCGAGACACCAACUUACAUGCUCACAAAGGCUCCUAGGCCAACCUGUCAUCUCAAAAUAACGUCGCUUCUCGCUCGUAUGCGCGCUAUGGCCAAAAACUGACGUAAUUUGAAAUGAAAUCGACACACGAAAGUGAUGUACUGUCCCGGGGACCUUAACUUACUGUUUUUUGGAAAAAAAAAUCCGAAAUUUAUGUUCAAUUUUUUUUUUAAUUUUCAAAUUACGUCAGUUUUCGGCCAUACGUGUCAAACGGCUAAAUUCAGACGUAAUUUGUAAGAAGACAGGUUCCCUAGGCAGCUGGGAGGCCCCGUGGGCCAAGCCCCGCCGGCCACACCACCACCCACAGCAUGGUAUAACCUCACGAGACACUCAUAGUGAUAAGAGCCUCAUCAAACACCUGUCAUUCUCUUGGUUAUAAGCAGUAUAUUUGUGUAAGAUUUGCUUCCUAGACAUAUCGUUUUAGGUGAACAGUUCAGUAAGAAACUUGCAGAUUAACAGUAUGUACUGGAUACGUUUUUGUAAUAAAGUGAACUUUUAAGUAA